RNAcentral lists this unclassified non-coding RNA (601 nucleotides) under Hevea brasiliensis (rubber tree). Lineage: Eukaryota; Viridiplantae; Streptophyta; Magnoliopsida; Malpighiales; Euphorbiaceae. The record is from RNAcentral.
ACUUCUAUACAGUCAUUCAACUCGGAAGAACAAUACGUCAUGAAAAAAUGUCAGCAUAACUUUAAAUGUUUCCAGUGUUUAUACAUUCAACUAUUUUAUCAUGAUAACCAUUUUUCAACUUCUCAAAAUGCACAAUAAACACUGAGAGGCGUCCAGGAGUAAAAUAUAGAUGUAAUCAUUAUUCCCACAAAAUAAUCAAAUCCUUCUACCUUUACUAAAAUUGUAGGAUAAUACCACAGAAUUUCAGCUCCUCAAGCAAGUUUGAAACUAAAUAUUUACAAAUAAGAUGGCAACAAAGUUCCUUAUGGCACAAUGAGCAGAAAGUAAUCCUUCUGCUACCUCAAACACUUACUUUUCAAAAAUGACUUCAACAAAUACAGGACAAAACUACCCAGAUGACUUAAACGAUUUUCCAAUAUCAUAAAAAUUCAAAGAUUCAUCAUCACUAAAAAAACAUUAAAAAUCCAAAACAGAGUUACGAAAUGGGAAACAAAUUUGAAUCAUUUAAUAAGAAGGUGGGCUAAUUAUACAACAUUGAGUAUGAUACGUAUAUUCAAUAAGCAAAUCGAAUAAGGUACCAUGUGGGAGAAGAGAUGCCCAG